GUCAUCAUCUGGUGCAAUCCUGCCUGCCCAUCACUUCAUCCCGAGUCUUUUUUCUCAUUGAGAACUUCUUUGGAGCAGGGAGGGCCAUUCCGGCAAAAAAGGUGAUUUCAGAAAACUUAUUUUAUAUGUUUCCAGUCAUAUUUGCUGAAUUUGUAGUUGUUUGCUAACACCUACAACAAAUUCUUCCUUCUGUGAGGUUUUAGGUUUGCUCUACUUAAUUGAUAUAUCAUUUUCUUGUUUCAAUGAACAUCACAACAAUAUUCUAGUUUAACUUGGUCUUGUCCUAAGACAACUAAAGGAAAAUUUUGAUAAAGCAAAAUCGUGAUCACCAGAUUCAUGGUUUAAUCCUUAUUAUUUUUCGUGGUCUUUACAUCUUUUACUCUUUGUGUUUAUGGCCAUGAUCUAUUCACCUAAGUUAUAGCGUGCCUGUGGUUGUCUAUGGAUUUUUAAUGUAUAUUGUGUAAAUUUAACUGAUAGUGAAAAUAUCUACCACCAGUGCUAAUUAGAUUUUUUUUGUAGGGUUUUAUAUUUUCUUUCUAACUGUACAACAAGGUAACACUUUUACAAGCAAAUAAGAAUGUUUAAAACCAAAAACUUCCUUAGCUAUGGAGACAGAGGUAAAGACAUAGCCUGUAUUGAAAAUUACAAUGUGGAGGUUAUUCCUCGUUAUAACCGGCCUGGAGGUGGGACAUCAAUUUUUUAUUACUCUGUAGAGGUUAAUUUUAUAUAGAGUAUUGAUAUAUAUAUAUAUAUAUAUAUAUAUAUAUAUAUUUAUGUAUGUAUGUAUGUAUUUGUGUGCAUAUAUAUAUAUAUGUUAUAUACUUGUGGUUCACUCUUAUUAUAUAUACAACUACUAUAAAUUACUCACUCCGUCUUAACUAAUUCUUGAUACUUUCCUUUCCUAGACUGUCCCUCUCAAUUAUUUAAAAGGUCGGUCAAUGUUUUAUUUUUUAUGGCUUAUUUUAAAGCCAAGCACAUUAUUGAUUAUACAUUCUAGACUUUUAGUCAAAAACAAACUCUGAAACACCUAGUCGCCUCAAUCAACCUCUACAAAUCCUCAACAAAGCACUAGUAACUACCAACGACUACAAAUCUAUCACUGCUAAUUCAAUUUUAUAUGAGUUUUUUAUGUAAAUUUUAUGCUCAAUGAUAGGGUUACGGCUGAGUUGUGUGUUCUAGGGCUAUUUGGCGAUCCCCUUGAAUUUCUCCAUGAAAUCUUACCAUUGCGAUAAUUAGUAUAGUGGCAGAUGACAAUUUAAGGGCGGUCAAUGUAGAGAGAGAGGUAUGAAACCUUCUUAAUAUUUUAUAUUUCUUUUUAACUAUUUAGAGGGUAUGAUUUUUCAAAUAAUCAAUACUUUAUUUUUUGCUUUAUUGCAGAAGGAGAAUAGUUCAUAAUUUGUUGCAUAUCGACAUAAACUUAGUGCCUUCUCUCUUAUAUUUCGAUUUUCUUCUUGUCACCAUCCUUUACUUGCAUGUGCCUUGGCAAAAAUAAUGCAAGAUGAGGGAAAUCGUUGUAGUUGUAAAGAUGAAAAUCCAGUGUGACAGCUUAUAUGUAUGAUAAAUAGUGACAAUCAACAUGUGGUAUGUAAGUCCCUACUAUUUUUUAGAGUGAGAAUGAAUCUCAAGGGAAUUGAUUGAGCAACAUCUUGACCGUUCAUUCAAGAAAGUUAUCAUCUAACCAUCGGACAUGCAAGAUGACCGGAGACAUUUAGACAAUAAUGAUUUUAUGUCCGAAAAGAAAAGACCCAUCUUCUUCCAAGCAUCCUAAAAAAAUGAAUGAACGAAAGAAGUAAAAUAAAAGUCGAUAUAUAACAGAUUAUAUAUAUAUAUAUAUAUAUAUACACACACAUUAUAAAAUAAUUAAGUAUAUUAUAUCCAAUAAUAAAUAAAUAUUAAAUAUUAAAAGCGUGUGUGUAUAUCAUUUAUGAAGAGAAAGAUAAUAAAAUAAAGUCUAAGCAAACCAAGAUCUUUGGUUAGACACUAAAGGAAAUAAGAUAAUAUAUAGAAAAUUUAAUUUAAAAAACAUCGAAUAAGCCAACAAAUGACACUUAAUUGCCAUUUAAAAGUGAACACAUACGCAUUAAUCAAUCAUAGCCACCCAUAAAUGGUACUAAAAUAGGCAUCAAUCAAAGCCACGAUUAACAUUCAAACUGAUUAACAGAGAUUUAUGACAUUUUUAAAUAAUUUCAAAUUAUUUCCACUUAUACAAAAAGUGAUAACAUCUGUGUAAUAAAGAAGAAAUUCUAAUUAAAAAAAACUAAAAGAACUUAUACCAAAUCCUUAAAAAUCUAAACAAGACAUCUAUUAAUAUAUGAUAUAAAAAUUACUAAAAAAGAAGAAAAUUUUCAAAAUUCAAAAUAUUAAUAAUUAAUGAGUCAAUCACUAUCUAAGAACAUAUCACAUUAUACAAUUUGCCUUUACUACAAUCAAACUAAUCUAUCAAUUUAAAUGUAGACAAUUAAAAGAAACGAAAAAAUUAAAUACAAUUCUAUAAAAUUGAAAACAUAAAUCAUGCCUAAAUUUUAGUCAAUAAUAUCACCACCGCAUACCGCCAUGGAACCACACCACUUAACCGUUAUCACAUAUCUCGUAACAAACAACAUAUUAACAUCUAAAACAAAAACCUAGCUCUAGGCACGAUCAUAUAUUAAAAGACCAUUGUUACGCUAACAAAUAACAAAAUGCAAUGAGUUUAUUAAAGAAAAUAGUGAUAUUAAAAUUCCGCAGUAUAUAUCUAAAUUACAACGGAUCACAUAUAUAAACAAGUAGGAUUAUGAAUUAGAAAAAAUACACAUUAGUUUUUGUGGAGUAUAUUCACACAAAAUGAUUCUUCAUCGAAUUUGAUGUUUCAAUCGAAUAUUUUUUGUCCAUUACCUCGAUAUUUGACUAUUUCCUCAAUAUAGUUAGUCCGGGUGACGACACAAGUCAAUUACACUCAGAAAUAAGCUCACUAAAUGAAUUUCCAAAAGUGGAUCUGUAAUUAUGUUAAUUUACGGAUCAUAGGCUUCGUAAAAGAUCCAUGAGUCCAUAAGCAUUAUCCAGAGGCCUCAAACAUUGUGAUGCCAAUCCAGCCCACAUUGAAAGAUUAAUAUCGGGGCAAAGUUGGAUGGACAUGUGUCAUCAUAUGAUACGAUCCCAACCCGUCACCUCCACCCCUCUAUAUAUUUUACCUAUUGCUUCCCUACGGGCUAUGGUCCAUUCUCUUUACAUAAAUUUUAAAGGGCGCCUCCGGUGGGUCAUUUGUGGCGAACAAGAUCAACCCUACUGGUUGUUUCGGUGAGUUCCGUCACUCUCAGAUCUCCAACAUGUAAUUUUUUUCUCUAUGAGGAAUGUAGCUUUUUUUUUUAAUUGAGUUAUAUAUUACUUAUUUCGCUAGACAUGACAACAAGAUGUCAAUUUAAUUUGUUUAUUCGGAAAACCGCAGGAAGGAAUUCAUAAUCGAAAAUCAUAUGGUCAUCAUCUUGAUUUAACAAUUACUCCCUCCGUCUCCUUCAUUUGUUUACAUUGGGGGACGGAGGCUUGGCACGCAUUCUAAUGCUAUCGUAAAAUGUAGUUGAUAAAUUAUUUUGAACUUUUAUCUUUUCUGAAUAAAAUUUGAUGUUUAAACUUUUAUACAAAAAAGAAAUUUUUAAUUUUUUUUAAUAAAAUUAUGUUUUAUAUGCGCCUUAAAAUGCGUGUCGAUCAGUGUAAAAAAACUGUAAAGAAAUGAGAGGGACAGAGGGAGUAAUAUUUAAUAACAGUUUGUGUAUUGUCUUAACUCGUAAGAUAAAAAUUACGUUUGCAAGCCUGCUAGUUAAUUUGGUACUUCUAUAUUAUUGUUACUGAUCUUCUAAUCAAAUUGCUUCAGUGUUUCCCUUUCACUGCCUUGAUUUUAUAUUUUCUGUUUGUUAUUCUACAAUUGUCAAGUCUCUAUGGUUUUCUUUACCCAAAAACUUCACAGUGUUUAUUGCUGAUUGUUAAAUAUAACGCAGUGCUUUUCUAUUGUGAAAAUAUAUUUGUAUUUUAUAAGCAAUUGAACAGCAGUUGUAGAGAUAUUCCGAGAAGUAACAUUACUUUGAUAUUCUGAUGUACAAGUCCCAGUCUAUGAAUCUAUAAACCAUAAGUAUAUAAAUCUACUAAUGCAUCUAUUACACCAACACCUGACAGAGAAACAAGUAUAGACAUAGCAAUAUUUUGGUCUUUUGGAUUUGCUUUCAACCCUUCAGUUAGAAUUGAUGACUCCUAUUGAUUUCUUAUAUUAAUAUUCUUUUUUACCCGCAAAAAACAUGUAUUAUUUUUGGAUUUUCCUUUUUUACCCGCAAGAAACAUGUAUUAUUUUUGUUGUAUAUAUGUAUAUAGAUUAUUCUUUUUUACCCGCAAAAAAGGAAACAUACUUGUAGCUAGCUCCGCAUGAUUGAAAGGUUUAUCAGCUUUUUUGGUUUUAGAUCAUUUCAUUUCUCCGUCUAUCUCGUAAGCUCUUUUGGGUUUUCAAACAGAAAUUUUUUCUGGAUAUUAAACAUUACAUUUCAACCAAAGGAUGAGGGGCCCCUAUUAUGCCUUUCAUGUCGUCUCGUGUUAAACCUUAAGGAAGCGCGUCCUUACAGUUGAGGAUAAGGAAGAUACGUAAUGUGAACAUCUUACUGUCCGCAGACCCAGUUUUCAUGUGUGAUAUAUAUUGAUUUUAUGGCUUAUAUUGCAUUUUUUAUGUAUUUGUGUCAAUAUUCUUUGCUGUCGUGAGUUAAAAAAAUUAUGUUAAUUUUAUGUUUGUGAUGCUAGUGAAAGUAAGUAGGGUAGGCAAAAAAAUUGUUUCCAUGCUGUCUAAAAGCAUGAAAAAUAUUUCUACAAACUGUUAACAGGAACAGUACUUGUCUAAAAGCAGCACUAGGGAGCCUCAAGUUAUUUCCAGUCAGGCUUAAGAGCUUUGGAAGUAUCCCAGCGGGAUGGAAGUGGAUUGGAGACCUAACCUUGGUGGGAUGGAAAAGGCAUUUAGCAUGAAUGUGAUGAUGCUGAUUGUUAAAUAUUUUGCGGGAUGCUCGAUAACACACUGGUAACUUUUCUUUAAAUCUGCUCUAUAUUAGUAUUGUGAUCUGUAUCUUUAAGUUUUUAAGUCCUUGAUAUGAGGCAUCAAAUCUUUACUUUUCAUUAGUAGCAAUCGCAAGUUUGGGAGACUGAAGUCACUGAACCUGUGUUAAUUGUUAUUAUACCAAAGCUAAAUGUCCCAAGAAGUCCAUAUAUGCAGCAAAGCAAAGCAUAAGCAUUCCUUUGGAAAAUAAAAGGUUUAAUUCCAAGUUAAAAAUAUAUUAUACUAAACAUGGAUUUUCCUCCAAGUCAAAACUCACAUAGAUUUAAUGUUCUUUACCUUUUACUUUCUGUUUUGAAUAGUUGCCUAUUCAAAUCUUAUGAACAACAAGUCUAUGCAGUAUGCGGUGCUUUGCAUUUGAAUUAGCUUCCAGCACACUUUAUUAUCUCCUUUUUAUAAGCUGCAGAACUUUUGAAGCGCAGAUAGUGUGUUAUAAGUUUGGGAUAUUGUAUACUGUCUUUUUACUUAAUUCUGUUAUCCAUUUUAUAGUUAACUAUGAUUAGGCUUUUGCAUCUAAUUUUUGGUUCUCCUCUAAUUUUUGUCUUAUAUUCGUAAAAAUCUUGUAAUGGAUGACUCUAACCUGAAGAAGAUCUUUAAAAGUAAUGAAUUCCAUUAGUGACAAAGUACUCUGUUUUUCUAUAGAGAAAAAGUCUGAACUUUACAAAGAUAAAAAAAAUAUAUGAAUGGGCAUGUUCAGUUUCCCUUUGUAAUGAGUUCUGCAUUUCCCUAUUUCUGUAAAGGAGUCCUGCACCAGCUACAAAACAAAAAAGAAAACGAAAAGAGAUCUGCAGCAGAUCAAGUGACAGAGUUUGCGGAGCAUGGGAUAGUCUUCCUGAUGAACUCCUCCUUUCAGUUCUAAUGAAAUUGAAUAUUAUCGACUACCUUGCCUUCAGUGGUGUGUGUAGAUCCUGGAGGUCAGUGUCUACUGAUAUUCGCAAAAGUUUUAUGGAGCGUCUGCAACC
RNAcentral lists this long non-coding RNA (6021 nucleotides) under Daucus carota (carrot). RNAcentral describes it as "long non-coding RNA (DCAR_LNC001236)". Lineage: Eukaryota; Viridiplantae; Streptophyta; Magnoliopsida; Apiales; Apiaceae. The record is from RNAcentral.